AAAUCUCAAAACGCAAAACGCAAACCUCAAAUCAGAAAUGCUAAAACCUCCAGCGACGGAUCCAAAACGCAUUGCAAAAUCUUUGAAGCAGUAGCACUCAGCUUGAAUCUGGCUUCAAUGAAGGUCGAUAAGAGCUGAAGAACUUGAUGGAAAUCGGAGAAUUUGCUUUGUCUCUGGUCGAGUUAUCGAAGAAGAAUAGCUAGCCCGUUAGCUUUCAAUGUGAACUAAUCGGUUGCCCAGAUGCGGGCAGACUAGAGAUUGAUAGAAGUUGUGUUGGAAUUAGAACAAGGGCUGGGAAGUUUUGGUUUGUUCGGACUACGCAACAUAAAGUUUGAUGCAGGAAAGUAUGGAUGUACAACGAAGGUGCUGGGUUUGAAAUUUAUGUCGUCAAGGCAUAAACAAACAAAGAGGAAUCCUUGUAAAAUGAAUAACACCAGCGAGUGCAGUAGCAGGAUUGGACGAUGACGAGUGCAGUAGCAGAACACGAGUACGAGGGCAGUAGCAGAACUGGACG
Rosa rugosa (rugosa rose) is the source of this 514-nucleotide long non-coding RNA. RefSeq lists it as uncharacterized. The record is from RefSeq and is a predicted model, not a curated record. The transcript has 4 exons. NCBI's taxonomy places the organism in Eukaryota, Viridiplantae, Streptophyta, Magnoliopsida, Rosales, Rosaceae.